This 421-nucleotide ribosomal RNA is filed under the name uncultured bacterium. Its description in RNAcentral is "bacterial SSU rRNA". It matches the Rfam family "Bacterial small subunit ribosomal RNA", at positions 355 to 775 of the family's 1533-position model. The record is from RNAcentral.
UCGAGAAUCUUCGGCAAUGGGCGAAAGCCUGACCGAGCGACACCGCGUGCGGGAUGAAGGCCUUCGGGUUGUAAACCGCUGUCGUAGGGGAGGAAGGGCCUGCGAAGAGCAGGACUUGACCGAUCCUAGGAGGAAGGGCCGGCUAAUCUCGUGCCAGCAGCCGCGGUAAUACGAGAGGCCCAAACGUUAUUCGGAUUUACUGGGCUUAAAGAGUUCGUAGGCGGUGCGGUAAGUGGGGUGUGAAAGCCCUCGGCUCAACCGAGGAAUUGCGCUCCAAACUACCACACUCGAGGGAGAUAGAGGUGAGCAGAACUGAUGGUGGAGCGGUGAAAUGCGUUGAUAUCAUCAGGAAUACCGGAGGCGAAGGCGGCUCACUGGGUCUCUUCUGACGCUGAGGAACGAAAGCUAGGGGAGCAAACGG